This 292-nucleotide ribosomal RNA is filed under the name uncultured bacterium. RNAcentral's name for it is "partial 16S ribosomal RNA". It matches the Rfam family "Bacterial small subunit ribosomal RNA", at positions 505 to 796 of the family's 1533-position model. The record is from RNAcentral.
GUGUCAGCAGCCGCGGUAAUACAGAGGUCCCAAGCGUUGUUCGGAUUUACUGGGCGUAAAGGGUGCGUAGGAGGCUUGGAAAGUCAGGUGUGAAAUCUCGCCGCUUAACGGCGAAAUGGCGCUUGAUACUCCCGAGCUAGAAGAUCGGAGGGGAGAACGGAAUUCCUGGUGUAGCGGUGAAAUGCGUAGAUAUCAGGAGGAACACCAACGGCGAAGGCAGUUCUCUGGACGAUUCUUGACUCUGAGGCACGAAGGCCAGGGGAGCAAACGGGAUUAGAAACCCUCGUAGUCC